RNAcentral lists this ribosomal RNA (496 nucleotides) under uncultured bacterium. Its description in RNAcentral is "partial 16S ribosomal RNA". It matches the Rfam family "Bacterial small subunit ribosomal RNA", at positions 29 to 507 of the family's 1533-position model. The record is from RNAcentral.
AUGCACGCUGGCUGCGUGCCUAAUACCUGCCAGUCGAGCGAACGGACGAGAAGCUUGCUUCUCUGAUGUUAGCGGCGGACGGGUGAGUAACACGUGGAUAACCUACCUAUAAGACUGGGAUAACUUCGGGAAACCGGAGCUAAUACCGGAUAAUAUUUUGAACCGCAUGGUUCAAAAGUGAAAGACGGUCUUGCUGUCACUUAUAGAUGGAUCCGCGCUGCAUUAGCUAGUUGGUAAGGUAACGGCUUACCAAGGCAACGAUGCAUAGCCGACCUGAGAGGGUGAUCGGCCACACUGGAACUGAGACACGGUCCAGACUCCUACGGGAGGCAGCAGUAGGGAAUCUUCCGCAAUGGGCGAAAGCCUGACGGAGCAACGCCGCGUGAGUGAUGAAGGUCUUCGGAUCGUAAAACUCUGUUAUUAGGGAAGAACAUAUGUGUAAGUAACUGUGCACAUCUUGACGGUACCUAAUCAGAAAGCCACGGCUAACUACGUG